GACGGACGCUGGCGGCGUGCUUAACACAUGCAAGUCGAACGGAAAGGCCCUGCUUUUGUGGGGUGCUCUAGUGGCGAACGGGUGAGUAACACGUGAGUAACCUGCCCUUGACUUUGGGAUAACUUCAUGAAACUGGGGCUAAUACCGGAUAGGAGCUCCUGCUGCAUGGUGGGGGUUGGAAAGUUUAGGCGGUUGGGGAUGGACUCGCGGCUUAUCAGAUUGUUGGUGGGGUAGUGGCUUACCAAGGCUUUGACGGGUAGCCGGCCUGCGAGGGUGACCGGCGACAGUGAGACUGGGACUAGGCCAGGCAGCAGACGGGAAGCAGAGGUAGGGGAUGGUAGACUAUGGGAGGAAGCCUGAGGCAGCAACGCCGCGGGCGGGAGGAGGGAAUUGGGGUUGUAAACGGAGAUCGCGUGUGACGAAGAGUGAGAGGACGGAACGGGGAGAGAAGGACCCGGCUAACUCGGGG
RNAcentral lists this ribosomal RNA (469 nucleotides) under uncultured bacterium. RNAcentral's name for it is "partial 16S ribosomal RNA". It matches the Rfam family "Bacterial small subunit ribosomal RNA", at positions 28 to 507 of the family's 1533-position model. The record is from RNAcentral.